This is a non-coding RNA of Vicia faba (fava bean), 608 nucleotides long. The record is from the annotation of a GenBank genome assembly. Lineage: Eukaryota; Viridiplantae; Streptophyta; Magnoliopsida; Fabales; Fabaceae.
GGAGACAAAAGAGUAAAAGUUAUGCCUCUAUAUUUUUGGUAAUCUUCAUCGUUUCUUCUAAGAAAACACUUUCUCCACCAUUCAAUAACUUUUGGUACCUCACCGCUCCAUACACCCACCAUCAUCAUCAACAUCCCACUUCCAUUUAUCUUCCGACUACCCAACUGAACAACCAUAAAGCCGUUUUCACCGAGCCACUGCUAUCUCCCUUCCGUCAUCGCUACCAACACCAAAAUCGAUACUCCCUCCGUAAAGACCUAUGUCCUUCAUCUCUAGAUCGCUCUUCCGCUCACCUCAAUGUCACUGUUUGCACCACCAUCAGACGGUCUCCAACCAACAUAACCCUUCAUCUUCAUCUGUCACUACAUGCACCCUCUGAUUCCAGCCUUCCAUGUUCUUCUACAUCAUCAAUCCAUUAUGCUCCCUCCGCCGGAUUCUCUAUAACGCUCACACGACACCUUUUCCUCCAACCAAACAUUAUCCAGCAGCUCACCCUGUUCAUCUUCAUCGGCGUCUUCACCAGUAGUUCUCGCAACAGAACUGUCUAUUUCCCUCUGUUCAAGCACAACUCAAACUUUGUUCGCUCAAAACUGCACCCUCCGUCGUAA